UGGGGAAUUUUGGACAAUGGGCGCAAGCCUGAUCCAGCAAUGCCGCGUGCAGGAUGAAGGCCUUCGGGUUGUAAACUGCUUUUGUACGGAACGAAACGGCUCUCUCUAAUAAAGGGGGCUAAUGACGGUACCGUAAGAAUAAGCACCGGCUAACUACGUGCCAGCAGCCGCGGUAAUACGUAGGGUGCGAGCGUUAAUCGGAAUUACUGGGCGUAAAGCGUGCGCAGGCGGUGAUGUAAGACAGAUGUGAAAUCCCCGGGCUCAACCUGGGACCUGCAUUUGUGACUGCAUCGCUAGAGUACGGUAGAGGGGGAUGGAAUUCCGCGUGUAGCAGUGAAAUGCGUAGAUAUGCGGAGGAACACCGAUGGCGAAGGCAAUCCCCUGGACCUGUACUGACGCUCAUGCACGAAAGCGUGGGGAGCAAACAGGAUUAGAUACCCUGGUAGUCCACGCCCUAAACGAUGUCAACUGGUUGUUGGGUCUUUACUGACUCAGUAACGAAGCUAACGCGUGAAGUUGACCGCCUGGGGAGUACGGCCGCAAGGUG
Molecule: ribosomal RNA, 547 nt
Filed under: uncultured bacterium
Lineage: Bacteria
Description: bacterial SSU rRNA
Rfam family: Bacterial small subunit ribosomal RNA
Source: RNAcentral